GGGAUAUUAGCUCAGAGGUAGAGCGGUGCAUGGUAUUGGUAUUUGUAGUUUGUCAUGGUAUUAUUUAAAGGUUUCAUGCACAGGUCACGGCGUUCAAGUCCCGUAUAUCCCA
This 112-nucleotide transfer RNA is filed under the name Bacteroides uniformis. RNAcentral's name for it is "tRNA-OTHER". It matches the Rfam family "tRNA". Rfam says of the family: Transfer RNA (tRNA) molecules are approximately 80 nucleotides in length. Their secondary structure includes four short double-helical elements and three loops (D, anti-codon, and T loops). Further hydrogen bonds mediate the characteristic L-shaped molecular structure. tRNAs have two regions of fundamental functional importance: the anti-codon, which is responsible for specific mRNA codon recognition, and the 3' end, to which the tRNAs corresponding amino acid is attached (by aminoacyl-tRNA synthetases). tRNAs cope with the degeneracy of the genetic code in two manners: having more than one tRNA (with a specific anti-codon) for a particular amino acid; and 'wobble' base-pairing, i.e. permitting non-standard base-pairing at the 3rd anti-codon position. RNAcentral also lists the same sequence under 1 other name. Lineage: Bacteria; Pseudomonadati; Bacteroidota; Bacteroidia; Bacteroidales; Bacteroidaceae. The record is from RNAcentral.